CGAGACUGAAUAUUCAGUGCUUAUCAGGGCUGCACAAUUAAUCAAAUAUUAAUCGCAAUCACUAUUUUGGCUUCCCACAAUAAAAUGAACAUGAUCGACUACGAUGUUGGCGUUUAAAAUGCGCGCUCUGU
Long non-coding RNA from Sebastes umbrosus (honeycomb rockfish), 131 nucleotides. RefSeq lists it as uncharacterized. The transcript has 3 exons. The record is from RefSeq and is a predicted model, not a curated record. NCBI's taxonomy places the organism in Eukaryota, Metazoa, Chordata, Actinopteri, Perciformes, Sebastidae.